UACGUAGGGGGCAAGCGUUGUCCGGAAUCAUUGGGCGUAAAGAGCGCGUAGGCGGUCCGGUAAGUCCGCUCUGAAAGUCCGGGGCUCAACCCCGGGAGGCGGGCGGAUACUGCCGGGCUUGAGUACGGAAGAGGCGAGUGGAAUUCCUGGUGUAGCGGUGAAAUGCGCAGAUAUCAGGAGGAACACCAAUUGCGAAGGCAGCUCGCUGGGACGUUACUGACGCUGAGACGCGAAAGCGUGGGGAGCAAACAGG
Molecule: ribosomal RNA, 253 nt
Filed under: uncultured bacterium
Lineage: Bacteria
Description: partial 16S ribosomal RNA
Rfam family: Bacterial small subunit ribosomal RNA
Source: RNAcentral